RNAcentral lists this transfer RNA (65 nucleotides) under Cyclosa japonica. RNAcentral's name for it is "tRNA-Asp". The record is from RNAcentral. Lineage: Eukaryota; Metazoa; Arthropoda; Arachnida; Araneae; Araneidae.
ACAAAAUUAGUUUAUAAAAAUAUUAGUUUGUCAAAUUAAAGAAAGAGAAAUUCCUCAAUUAAUAC